This 923-nucleotide ribosomal RNA is filed under the name uncultured bacterium. RNAcentral describes it as "bacterial SSU rRNA". It matches the Rfam family "Bacterial small subunit ribosomal RNA", at positions 56 to 988 of the family's 1533-position model. The record is from RNAcentral.
UGCAGUCGAGGGGUAUAGUAGCAAUACUAGAGACCGGCGCACGGGUGCGUAACGCGUAUGCAACCUACCUUGAACAGGGGGAUAGCCCAGAGAAAUUUGGAUUAAUACCCCAUGGUAUAUUAGAAUGGCAUCAUUUUAUUAUUAAAGUCACAACGGUUCAAGAUGGGCAUGCGUCCCAUUAGCUAGAUGGUAAGGUAACGGCUUACCAUGGCUACGAUGGGUAGGGGUCCUGAGAGGGAGAUCCCCCACACUGGUACUGAGACACGGACCAGACUCCUACGGGAGGCAGCAGUGAGGAAUAUUGGUCAAUGGGCGCAAGCCUGAACCAGCCAUGCCGCGUGCAGGAUGAAGCAUCUAUGGUGUGUAAACUGCUUUUGUACGGGAAGAAACACCGGUUCGUGAACCGGCUUGACGGUACCGUAAGAAUAAGGAUCGGCUAACUCCGUGCCAGCAGCCGCGGUAAUACGGAGGAUCCAAGCGUUAUCCGGAAUCAUUGGGUUUAAAGGGUCCGUAGGCGGCCAGGUAAGUCAGUGGUGAAAGCCCAUCGCUCAACGGUGGAACGGCCAUUGAUACUGCCAGGCUUGAAUUUCUGGGAAGUAACUAGAAUAUGUAGUGUAGCGGUGAAAUGCUUAGAUAUUACAUGGAAUACCAAUUGCGAAGGCAGGUUACUACCAGUGGAUUGACGCUGAUGGACGAAAGCGUGGGUAGCGAACAGGAUUAGAUACCCUGGUAGUCCACGCCGUANACGAUGGAUACUAGCUGUUCGGGGCAACCUGAGUGGCUAAGCGAAAGUGAUAAGUAUCCCACCUGGGGAGUACGGGCGCAAGCCUGAAACUCAAAGGAAUUGACGGGGGCCCGCACAAGCGGUGGAGCAUGUGGUUUAUUUCGAUGAUACGCGAGGAACCUUUACCAGGCUUAAAUGU